This 324-nucleotide ribosomal RNA is filed under the name uncultured eukaryote. Its description in RNAcentral is "partial 18S ribosomal RNA". It matches the Rfam family "Eukaryotic small subunit ribosomal RNA", at positions 1470 to 1796 of the family's 1831-position model. The record is from RNAcentral.
CCCUUAGAUGUUCUGGGCUGCACGCGCGCUACACUGAAGCUAUCAACACGUUUUCCCUCCCUGAGAAGGGCGGGUAACCUUUUGAAUCAGCUUCGUGGUAGGGAUCGGGGCUUGCAAUUGUUCCCCGUGAACCAGGAAUUCCUAGUAGACGCGAGUCAUAAGCUCGCAUCGAUUAAGUCUCUGCCCUUUGUACACACCGCCCGUCGCUACUACCGAUUGAACGUUUUAGUGAGGCAUUUGGACCGACGCAUCUCAGUUUAACCGCUGGUUUGUGUUGGAAAGACUUCCAAACUUGAGCGUUUAGAGGAAGUAAAAGUCGUAACA